CUCAUUAAAUCAGUUAUCGUUUAUUUGAUAGUACCUUACUACUUGGAUAACCGUGGUAAUUCUAGAGCUAAUACAUGCUAAAAACCCCGACUUCGGGAGGGGUGUAUUUAUUAGACAAAAAACCAAUGCCCUUCGGGGCUCCUUGGUGAAUCAUGAUAACUUAACGAAUCGCAUGGCCUUGCGCCGGCGAUGGUUCAUUCAAAUUUCUGCCCUAUCAACUUUCGAUGGUAGGAUAGUGGCCUACCAUGGUAUCAACGGGUAACGGGGAAUUAGGGUUCUAUUCCGGAGAGGGAGCCUGAGAAACGGCUACCACAUCCAAGGAAGGCAGCAGGCGCGCAAAUUACCCAAUCCCGACACGGGGAGGUAGUGACAAUAAAUACUGAUACAGGGCUCUUUUGGGUCUUGUAAUUGGAAUGAGUACAAUUUAAAUACCUUAACGAGGAACAAUUGGAGGGCAAGUCUGGUGCCAGCAGCCGCGGUAAUUCCAGCUCCAAUAGCGUAUAUUAAAGUUGUUGCAGUUAAAAAGCUCGUAGUUGAACCUUGGGCCUGGCUGGCCGGUCCGCCUCACCGCGUGCACUGGUCCGGCCGGGCCUUUCCUUCUGGGGAUCCCCAUGCCCUUCACUGGGUGUGGCGGGGAACCAGGACUUUUACUUUGAAAAAAUUAGAGUGUUCAAAGCAGGCCUUUGCUCGAAUACAUUAGCAUGGAAUAAUAGAAUAGGACGUGCGGUCCUAUUUUGUUGGUUUCUAGGACCGCCGUAAUGAUUAAUAGGGAUAGUCGGGGGCAUCAGUAUUCAAUUGUCAGAGGUGAAAUUCUUGGAUUUAUUGAAGACUAACUACUGCGAAAGCAUUUGCCAAGGAUGUUUUCAUUAAUCAGUGAACGAAAGUUAGGGGAUCGAAGACGAUCAGAUACCGUCGUAGUCUUAACCGUAAACUAUGCCGACUAGGGAUCGGGCGAUGUUAUUAUUUUGACUCGCUCGGCACCUUACGAGAAAUCAAAGUCU
Molecule: ribosomal RNA, 1001 nt
Filed under: Kellermania dasylirionis
Lineage: Eukaryota; Fungi; Ascomycota; Dothideomycetes; Botryosphaeriales; Planistromellaceae
Also listed under: 1 other name
Description: SSU rRNA
Rfam family: Eukaryotic small subunit ribosomal RNA
Source: RNAcentral